This 220-nucleotide ribosomal RNA is filed under the name uncultured fungus. Its description in RNAcentral is "partial 18S ribosomal RNA". The stretch from base 46 to 220 matches the Rfam family "Eukaryotic small subunit ribosomal RNA", at positions 691 to 868 of the family's 1831-position model. Lineage: Eukaryota; Fungi. The record is from RNAcentral.
GGAUUUGCUCAUUGGUCAGGCUUAACUGUCUGUACUGGUGUAACGAAUUCCUACUUUCUGAUGAAUCUUCAUGCCAUUUACUUGGUGCGGAGGGGAAUCAGGACUGUUACUUUGAAAAAUUAGAGUGUUUAAAGCAGGCUAUUGCUCGUAUACAUUAGCAUGGAAUAAUAGAAUAGGACGGUUGGUUCUAUUUUGUUGGUUUCUAGGAUCACCGUAAUGA